UUAUGACCAGGAUUUAAUUUUUUGAUUUUCACAAACUCAGAAGAUGAUGAGGCUUCAUCAACCCGGGCUUCCACACCGCAGGGACAGCCACUAAGACGCUCACAGCGGAUUAGCCCGCAAGGGCAGCCUGUGUACAGAGGACAAGACGGACCUGCACCCAAAAAGAAAAGAAAUUCCAAAAGAAAAACUAGAGACGAGGAAAGU
Molecule: long non-coding RNA, 204 nt
Organism: Dreissena polymorpha
Lineage: Eukaryota; Metazoa; Mollusca; Bivalvia; Myida; Dreissenidae
Exons: 3
Source: RefSeq, a predicted model, not a curated record